This 162-nucleotide small nuclear RNA is filed under the name Dermacentor andersoni. RNAcentral's name for it is "U1 spliceosomal RNA". It matches the Rfam family "U1 spliceosomal RNA". From Rfam's summary of the family: U1 is a small nuclear RNA (snRNA) component of the spliceosome (involved in pre-mRNA splicing). Its 5' end forms complementary base pairs with the 5' splice junction, thus defining the 5' donor site of an intron. Lineage: Eukaryota; Metazoa; Arthropoda; Arachnida; Ixodida; Ixodidae. The record is from RNAcentral.
AUACUUACCUGGUGUCGAGUUCCUGAUGAUCAUUCAGGUCAGGGCUCCGUGCCGAGGCCAGCCAUUGCACUACGGUUGGCUGAAGCACGCCACUACCCCAAACCAGGGCAGAUGGGGCAUGUAAUUUUUGGUAGAGGGGCUCGGCGUGCGCGCCAGCCCCGC